RNAcentral lists this non-coding RNA (102 nucleotides) under Desulfosporosinus lacus. Its description in RNAcentral is "Guanine sequence". It matches the Rfam family "Purine riboswitch aptamer". From Rfam's summary of the family: Riboswitches are metabolite binding domains within certain messenger RNAs that serve as precision sensors for their corresponding targets. Allosteric rearrangement of mRNA structure is mediated by ligand binding, and this results in modulation of gene expression. Lineage: Bacteria; Bacillati; Bacillota; Clostridia; Eubacteriales; Desulfitobacteriaceae. The record is from RNAcentral.
CAUGACAAGUGAAUAUUAGUUCAUAUAAAAGCAGAGAUAAGGUCUGCUAGUUUCUACCGGGCUGCCGUAAAUCGUCCGACUAUGAGCGAAAGUGUCCUAGGA